GAUGAACGCUGGCGGCGUGCUUAACACAUGCAAGUCGAACGGAGUCCAGCCUUUAAGACCUUCGGGUCAAAGUGGGGAAGACUGAGUGGCGGACGGGUUAGUAACACGUGGGCAACCUGGCUCAUAGAGGGGGAUAACAGAGAGAAAUAUCUGCUAAUACCGCAUAAGCACACACUGCCGCAUGGCAGUGGGUGAAAAGAGAAUCGCUAUGAGAUGGACCCGCGUCUGACUAGCCAGUUGGCAGGGUAAGAGCCUACCAAAGCGACGAACAGUAGCCGAUCUGAGAGGAUGAACGGCCACAUUGGGACUGAGACACGGACCAAACUCCUACGGGAGGCAGCAGUGGGGGAUAUUGCACAAUGGGGGGAACCCUGAUGCAGCGACGCCGCGGGAGUGAAGAAGUAUUUCGGUAUGUAAAGCUCUAUCAGCAGAGAAGAUAAUGACAGUACCUGAAGAAGAAGCCCCGGCUAACUACGUG
This 478-nucleotide ribosomal RNA is filed under the name uncultured bacterium. RNAcentral describes it as "partial 16S ribosomal RNA". It matches the Rfam family "Bacterial small subunit ribosomal RNA", at positions 28 to 507 of the family's 1533-position model. The record is from RNAcentral.